Molecule: transfer RNA, 67 nt
Filed under: Hydropsyche saxonica
Lineage: Eukaryota; Metazoa; Arthropoda; Insecta; Trichoptera; Hydropsychidae
Description: tRNA-Ala
Source: RNAcentral
AGGAUUAUAAUUUACUUAAAAUAAUUAAUUUGCAAUUAAUAAAAAUUGUUCUUAUCAAUUAAUCUUA